UAUUUUUCGUCCGUUGCUAGUACUGCACCAUCAUACAUUCAAAAACUAAUCAAUACCAACUCAAACUUAACAUAGUUGAUUUCUAACAUUACAGCUGAAAACUUAUGUUGGUACAAUAUGCUCCUUCUUAAAAGUUAAAACUAAAUUUGUUAAAAAAUAUGUUUUCAACUUAGUAUGCAAAAUAAAGAUUGGAUAUAAAAGAAAAUGUUAAAAUUUAAUGGAUUCAUUUUCUCUAUAUACAAAAAAAAAAAAACAAAGAGAAAUUAGAAACAGCCAGUCCCAAAAUUCUACUUGAAAAUUAGACCGAAACCAAACCAAAACCGAAACCAUUCCAAACGAUGGACACUAGAAUAGGUUCUACUUUGGUUACUAUUGUUUAUAAACCGAAAAAUCCUAAUCAAAACCAAACCUCUAGUUUUGUUUUUGUCUUGGGCACUAGAUGAUGCAUCAAAAUUCCAAAAGUACACUAUAUAUAUACUAAACUAGAGUAAUAGAACCAUACCGGGAAGAUUUUCGGAGACGGUAG
Long non-coding RNA from Arabidopsis thaliana (thale cress), 526 nucleotides. RefSeq annotates it as other RNA. The transcript has a single exon. Lineage: Eukaryota; Viridiplantae; Streptophyta; Magnoliopsida; Brassicales; Brassicaceae. The record is from RefSeq.